UCAAGCUGUAAAGGGCGCAAGGGGAAUGCCUUGGCACUGAGAGCCGAUGAAGGACGCGACAAGCUGCGAUAAGCUACGGGGAGCCGCAAAUGGGCUUUGAUCCGUAGAUUUCCGAAUGGGGAAACCCGGCAGAGCAAUACUCUGUCAACGUACACUGAAUACAUAGGUGUACGUGGGGAACCGCCUGAACUGAAACAUCUAAGUAGGGCGAGGAAGAGAAAUCAACCGAGAUUCCGCCAGUAGUGGCGAGCGAACGCGGAAGAGGCCAAACCAGUGGAUUUAUUCACUGGGGUUGCGGACAGUCAAGAAGUGAGAAAUGGUUAGACGAAGGGUCUGGGAAGGCCCGCCACAGAAGGUGAGAGCCCUGUAGUCGAAAACGAUUUCUUAGUGGACUGGAUCCAGAGUACCACGGGACACGUGAAACCCUGUGGGAAACCGGGGGGACCACCCUCCAAGCCUAAAUACUACCUGAUGACCGAUAGAGGAGCAGUACCGUGAGGGAAAGGUGAAAAGGACCCCGGGAGGGGAGUGAAAGAGAACCUGAAACCUUGUGCUUACAAGCAGUCAAAGCACGUUAACGUGUGAUGACGUACUUUUUGUAGAACGGUCCGGCGAGUUAUAGUAACGAGCAAGCUUAAGGUAUUGAGUACCGGAGGCGAAGCGAGAGCGAGUCUGAAUAGGGCGUAAAGUUCGUUGCCAUAGACCCGAAACCGGGUGACCUAUCCAUGAGCAGGCUGAAGUGAGAGUAAAAUCUCAUGGAGGGCCGAACCGACCCCCGUUGCAAUGGUGGCGGAUGACUUGUGGAUAGCGGAGAAAUUCCAAUCGAACUCGGAGAUAGCUGGUUCUCCCCGAAAUAGCUUUAGGGCUAGCGUUAUGUUAGAUUACCGGAGGUAAAGCACUGAAUGGUGGCGGGGCCGAUAAGGUUACCAAGACCUAUCAAACUCUGAAUGCCGGAUAAUUGAUGCAUAGCAGUCAGACAGCGUGAGAUAAGUUUCGUUGUCAAAAGGGAAACAGCCCAGACCCACAGCUAAGGUCCCAAAUUCAUGCUAAGUGGAAAACGAUGUGGAAUUGCGAAAACAACCAGGAUGUUGGCUUAGAAGCAGCCACUCAUUAAAAGAGUGCGUAAUAGCUCACUGGUCGAGUGACUCUGCGCGGAAAAUAUAACGGGGCUAAGCAUGAAACCGAAGCUUGGGCUUGUCUUAGGACAGGGGUAGGGGAGCGUCGAGUAUGGGGUGAAGUCAGAGCGGAAGCACUGGUGGACUGUACUGGAGUGAGAAUGCCGGAAUGAGUAGCGAGAAUUAUGUGGGAAUCAUAAUGGCCGAAAAUCUAAGGUUUCCUGGGGAAGGUUCGUCCGCCCAGGGUUAGUCGGGAGCUAAGCUCAGGCCGAAAGGCGUAGGCGAUGCACAUACGGUAGAAAUUCCGUAACCACCGAACUUUAAGCUAGAGGGACGCUUUCUUUAAGGUUAUCCCGGGCGAUGGUUGCCCCGGGCGUAAGGGACCGAAAUUUAGUAGGGAAGUAACUGGCGAGAGAGACGAGAAAAGCUCUAGUGUAUACUAAGGUGCCCGUACCGCAAACCGACACAGGUAGAAGGGAUGAGUAUUCUAAGGCCAACGGGAGAAGGGUUGUUAAGGAACUCGGCAAAUUGGCCCCGUAACUUCGGGAUAAGGGGCGCCUGCGAGAGCAGGCCGCAGUGAAAAGGCCCAAGCGACUGUUUAGCAAAAACACAGCUCUCUGCUAAAUCGAAAGAUGACGUAUAGGGGGUGACGCCUGCCCGGUGCUGGAAGGUUAAGGGGAGUGCUUAGCGCAAGCGAAGGUGCGAACUUAAGCCCCAGUAAACGGCGGCCGUAACUAUAACGGUCCUAAGGUAGCGAAAUUCCUUGUCAGGUAAGUUCUGACCCGCACGAAUGGCGUAACGAUUUGGGCACUGUCUCAACAGCCCGCCCGGCGAAAUUGUAGUACCGGUGAAGAU
Molecule: ribosomal RNA, 1970 nt
Filed under: human metagenome
Description: bacterial LSU rRNA
Rfam family: Bacterial large subunit ribosomal RNA
Source: RNAcentral